UCGCUCCCCUCGGGAGCUGGAGGGGCCCGAGCAUCAGCGAGAGUAGCUGCAAGCAGCCGCGGCGGCGGCGGCGCGUCGUUGCAGUUGCGCCAUCUGUCAGGAGCGGAGCCGGCGGGGAGGGGGCUGCCGCGGGAGAGGAGGAGGGGUCGCCGCGAGCCCGAGGCCGCCGAGACCCGCCCGCCGGUCGGCCGCGAGAGCAGAGGCGAGGCUGCGCUCCAAGCCCGGCGUCCUCCGCUGUCCGGGCGCACGGCGCUUCUCCCCGUGCACCGAGCACUCUCCGGGCGCACACAAAGCCGCGGCUCACGCCAGGGAGGGAUCCGGCGGCCAGGCCGGGGACACCCCGGCGCCGCCCCCUCGGAGAUCUCGGAGGGCCCACCGGCUCCCGGGUCCGCAGCGGAGCUACUGGACCCGCCUCGGCCGCGCCGAAGGAGGGCGGGGAGUGGACCAUGUGAAUGGGCUUCGGAGCCUGAGCGCCGCACAGGUAAGCUGCCGGGAUGCGCCUCUGGAGGCCACGGGGAUGCUGCGGAGACGCCCGGCCGCCCGCGCCCCCGCACAGGGCGGCCCCCGCGGCUGGGGCCCCGCGCUGCAGUCCCUCGGCCACUGCCGCCUCUGGGGCACCCCGCGGGGCUGCGGGAGAGUUGGCAGCACUAGGGGUCUUCCCGAGGCCCUGUCGCAGGACACCUUUGUGGGGUGCGGUCCCGAGGUAGCGCAGGGAUGGGGGCUCAUUUCUUCGCCUGUUAGCCGGCGCCGGGUGGGAGUCGGAAUUGGCUUGGGGGCGAGGCUGGCCCAGACUCCUCCCCCGCCCUCCUUUUGGGGCCCCCCGUGGGGAUUAGGGCUGUGUGUGUUGUUUUAAUGUCAAGGAUGAUGUAAUCACUUAAUAAUUGAUGCCCCGUGCUGCUUCCCUCCCCACCCAACCCCUGCCCCACUCCUCCACCUCUGGGCCUCCUCCCUCGGCGGCCGUCGCCUUCCCCAGCGCAUCCUACUGCCUAUUUCUGGCACCUCCCUUGCACUUCCCCCAUCCACCCCUUCACUCUUCCUGUGCCACCACCCACCCACCCUUCCCCUUUCCCCUGUGUCGGAGCCUUCCCUCCUCUUCCUCUGUCCCCCACCCCUGCUGCUCUCUCUAGCUCCUUUCUCCUCCCUUCCCUGCUCACUCGCUGAAUUUCCUCUUCACUUCCCUAGAUCGAUGGUUGUUUUUGUUUGGUCUCCUCCCCUCUCUUAUCUCUGCUGCUACAGGCAGAGGGGGACUGGGCCAGAAGAGGCCACCGAGCUUGGGCCCAGGCGGUAUUUGCUGGGACACUUAGGGAAGAGGCAUAAUCAAAUCACCCUUCUAGCUUCUCCUUCCCCCAAUAAAUCACAGAGACUCGCCCGUGUGUGUGUGUGUGUGUGUGUGUGUGUGUGUGUGUGUAACACACAAAGAGCCCUUUCAGUGCAUAGCAGGAGACACACAAAGUACCCAAGGAUCAUCGGCUCCAUGCUUCUUGUUUCUUUUCCCUAGGGCUUCCCUUUCUUUCCUAGGAAGCAGUUGAUCUUCUCUCAGAGUCUUUCCUGCCACAUUUACCAAAAAAAGAAAGGCCCCCUAGAUGCCGGGUGGCAGGUGGCAGCAUUUUGCUGUGUUCAUAGACCAGUAGUGUAGACUGUCAGCUGCUAUGUGUCUUAGAUUUAAGGGGGAAAUUAUCCCAGCUGUUUUGAGAGUUUACUUUUAAGAUAACCUCCCCACUCCCUCAUUUUACCCCUUCUCUUUUUGAGGAUAGUUAUAAGAGUUGGGAUAGGGUAAAUUGGUGUAGGAUCAGAAGAAUUUUGUUUCUGAAUUAGAAUUAAAUUGGUGUUUGACAGGAGUGAGGAAACCUGACUUGUUUCUUCUAUCUAGUCUAAGGCCUCUUUGCUGGAGUCUUUUGAAAUGAAAUCUGGUCUGCCCAAUGAUGCUGUUUCACUCUUUUAUUCAACUAAGUAACUGAGGACCUGCAUUGAAUUGGCACUUGCAAGACCAUGGAGACUGUCUUGCUUGCUUCAUGGUAGCCUUCAGAUGCCCACACUCUUCCUCUUACCACCCAAGCAACUACAAUAAUUUUCAUUCUUUGUCCAGUCUUUCUCCCCAGUCCCUACCCCGUGGGCACUGUGCUUUCAAUUGAAGAAACUCACAGUCUUUUAGAGGAAGUAGUUUAACUAUCUGAGGCUUUGGGGCACUUAGCUCUGAACAGAAGAUUUAGAAUGCUGAACCUUGGACUAUCUGAUGUACCUCUUAAAGUAGAAGUGUUAAUGAAAAAUUUGGACUUAAUGUUCUGUUUUGUAAACAGGUGGCAUGUGCUUAAUCAAUAUUGUCAAAACUUAUGUUGGGCCUGUUGUUUCCUAAGAUUAGUACUAUAGCAAGUAACAAAACAGUCUCAAGUUUGUUCUUCAAGAAUUUUAUCAGAAAAGAGUUAUUAUGAUUCAUUAAACAUUUGCUUCUGUGCUUUCUAAGGACGUUUAUGGUGGAACUUUUUACAUUAAAAAAAGCAAUAGAGUUAAUGAGGGUACUGUAAAAACAAAGACUUGUUUGUUGGAUGCCAGACCCAGAAAGAAAAGUCAGUGCACAAUAAACUCGCACUCUGUUGACCAAGUUAAAGAGACUUAAUGAUAAGGUUGAAUGUGAACAAAUGCACACUCUACUUUUCUCUCAGGUUGGAGUCUUAGGUUGGAGUCUCCAACCUAAUCUGUCUUGCUAAAAAUUCUCUUUAACCUUUGGAGUCUGUCAUAAAUGUCAUCUUCCCUCUGAAGACUUCAUUAACUCUUUUUUGAGCAAUGUUGUUUUCAAAUAUUAGCAGUAGGCAUUAUGUUUGUCAUGCUGUUUCUACCAUUAAUUUGGUCAGUACAUUGAGAAAAGGAGCCUAAUCUUAUUUGUCUCAUUUCCUACCAAGUAUUACAUUAGUAGGUAAUCAGUGGUUCAUUUAACAAUCAACAAAUAUGAGUUAGAUCAUUGGUAUGGACACCUGUUUUAAUUAGGAUAAUGUUAGCAGCUGUAACAAAUAGGCCUGCAAACAUACAAUCGUUCAAAAGCAAUGCACAUUUAUUCUUGCCUAUGUAAUAGUCCAAAAUGGGUGUUUCUGGUCAUUGGGUGGCUUUCUUCUGUUUGGCAAUUCUGAGUCCCUUGCCCCUAUCUUGUAGCUGCACAAUUACAUGGCUUUUCAUUGUAGCCUGUUUUAGCUGACUGGGCAAAAGAGAGAAUGAAGAGAUGUAUCCACUUGUAAAAUGUCUUGGCCUACAAAUGACCCACAUCACUUGUACAAACAUGAGGGCUAUGUAUGUGACUAAAUUUAAUUGCAAGGGACCCUGAGAAAUGUAGGUAAGCCAUGUGUCCAGAAAAAAAAGGACAAGAAAUGUAUUUUUGAUGAACAGCUCUGCCAAACACUCCCAUUUAACAAGGUAUAUCCACUACCCUCAAGAAGCUUGUUGGCUGAUGGUAAUUAAAUUAAAUGGAAAUCUAAGAGCCGACACCCAUCCUUGCUUUUGUUCUUUUGAUUUUGUAAGUUCAGAUAUUUUCAUCUUAAUCAUAUUUCAGAAACCUUGCUUUUUGUCAAAUUUUAAGGGGCCACUUCUCACUCAGUAAUCUCUUAUCAUAUAGUCCAUCUGUCACUUCCUGUGUUGACUUUGAUGUGGUGGUUUUUAGUCCAGAAGCACCUUCCUUGGCCUCGAUCUUUGUCUGGUGAUUUUAUAGACUUCCAUAGUGGCUAGUGGGAUCCUUGGAAAUCACAUGUCCUUAAGAAGAAAUGAAGCAGAAUAGGAAAGGUAAAGCUCAUUGCCCCAUGGCCAUGCUGAUGGUGGAACUCAGGGCUUUGUGCAUGCUAGGCAACUGCUCUACCACUGGGACAUGAAGUUUCCAAAGAGAAGGCCAGACGCCCAGCCAGCUCAGCUCUUCAACUCCACCUGGGCCCCUUCAUCAGCAGCUGUCUGUCUUGUGCAUUUCUUGGAAGUUUUGAGCUUUCAGACCUCCAGGAACAGGGGAAUCUGCUAGUGUUCUGGAUAGUCCCUGUUCUCCACAGGUCUCCAAACUAUUGCAGCAGUUCUGAAUUCUGCCCAUGCCUGUAAUCAUAAUUAAUAAUGCUCUUUCUUUCUGUUUUUGGCUGUGAACAUUUUGCUUUAUUCAUCAGUUCUGCAAACAUCAGCCUAAUAUGUUAUUUUGUGUAAGACAUUGGGGGACAUGGGGCUGUAGAAAUGAAUAUUCCUGCUGUCCUUGCUCUUCAGAAGCUCAGUGUGUACUAGAAGAGAUAAUAAUAAUAAUAAUAAUAAUAAUAGUAAAAAAUAGCUAACAUUGAUAAUUUACGGUGUGUCAUGUACUGUUUAAGCUCAAAUCUUAACAAUAAUGAUAUGAAGUGGUUUCACUUAUAAUCACCAUUUUACGAAUGGGCAAGUUUCAGUAACUUACUAGUAACUAACUCAAAAGAUCAUGUAGCUACAAAGUGCUAGAGUCAAAAUCAGGCUCAAUUAGUUUGGUUCCAAAGCCCUUCUACUAAGUCACUGGGCAGUUCAAAAUACUUCAUAUGUUUAUAGUCAUGAUAGGAAUAAGACAUUUUUCACAAGGGAGGUGGGUGGUUAGCAUACUUUGGAAAUUGAGACUUCUGGUUGAUGGAAAACAGAACUUUAUAUCUAAUAAAGUAUCCAUCCCUACCUUCCUUUCUUCUAUUUAGACCCUCGUCUGAUAUUCAUCUGGGAAACAAAAAAUAAAAUUUGAAAAUGGAAAAUCAAAGUAUGUUGAUACUGGAAGUAGUUUCACUCUCUGUGCUUCUUUAUUUUAAGCUAGGUCCUUCUGCACAGGUCCUUCUAUAUAGAUAGGUCUUUAUGAAUUGGUGAAUUGUCUGCAUUUACAAUUUGCCAGACAUUGAACUAGUGCUUGGGAGCAAAAGGUGGGGGGGGGGGGCUGUGAUCCUGCCUCAAGGAACUUACCUACUGGCUCAACUGAGAAAGGAGGAAGCCUCUGACAAUAUUAUACAUGCUGAUUCUAGGGGUACAUACACAGGACACAGAGAGUAUGCACAGCAAAGAGGUGGGGCGACCAGACAGUAAAGACUGGAGGAAGAGGUAUCUUGCAGUAGGAGUUGGUUAGUUAAAUGUGGGAAGGCCACUGCUCCAGAAAGAACAACCCAGAAGGUGAAGGCAGAGACCUUUCGGGAUGCUGCAAUUAGUUCACGACUCAAUGGGGUGGUAGAGAGAUGGAAAAAGGAAGAAUACAGGGCUGGAGAAGAAAUUGAGAAGAUUCUAAUAAGUAUUUAUAAGUGUUACUCAAGAAUUAUAAGUGGAGACGUGACUUUGACCUAUUUUGGAUUUUAAAAGUAUCACCUGGCCAUAGUGUGUGGGGCUUUGGUCAGAGCCAGGUCGACUGAUUCAGGGAGGAUAGUUACUAGAAACUCAGAUGAACUAUAGGUGAGGGUCAAAAUGGAAGGGAUGAAGUGGGGAAUCCCACUCUUUCUCACUAUACCUCCACGUAUCUUUUCCCCAGAAACCCUUUACUCCACCCCUCUAUCACCUUUGUCCAUCAUGUCAUUCGACCCACACACGUUUCCCUUCUACAGUAGUGUCUGUGAAACCUGAAGGUCCACCUCCACAGAGGUAACGUAUGUACCCAGACCUCAUUCCCUUCUCCCGAUCUUAAGUUUAUAUUUAAACAAUCAUCAUUCACUGUCUAAGAACUUCGGUACCUACACCCAAUCAAGUGGGUCCCUCUCAUGUACCUCAUAUUCCUCGUCUGUCCCGGUCUCACUCGGGUCCUUACGUCCUCCUCAUGUCCGGGACUCACCCUCUCCAUGCUUCACAACCUGUCUGGACCCCCUCAAGUAUAGGUCCCGACGUCUCUAUUGUUCUAUGUCUUACUUUUCACGACAACCUAAAUCGUGGUUGUUAAAGACUCGGCCUCGUCUCAUCGUAAUCCCCUUACUUUCACAUAUUUAGAAUUUUAGACGGUGAGGGGUCGGGUCCAUCUUCAUGUAUAGUUUUAGGCGUCUUGUAUCUUAACACUCCCUGAGAGAACGUCUCCAAAAGUUCUCGUAUACAGUACCCUGGGUCUUAGAAUCUAUAGUACAUCAGGUUAUACAUUUUAUUGAAUAAACACUCUUUUUUUUUACUUCAUGUCUCUCAAGUUUACUGAACAAGUUUAACCGUUUCAGUAGUUCAAACAUCAGAAAAUCGAGUCCACCCUGUACUCCAAUUUUCGUACCUCAACCUCGUCCCAGGUCCAGAGGUUGAUACACCCGACCGGGUUUAAUGGAGGAGGGAGACACGGAUGGAAAGAAGUAGAAAUUUUACCACUCGUCCUUGAUGAAACUCCUCAAUUAUCAAUUAGUUACAUUUCGUGAGUCUUAUUACAGCGGUAUUCCUUUUCACUAUACAAAUACACCAUUAAUACAUGUAUACAUGUGUGUGUGUGUGCACGCACGUGUGUGUGUGUGUGUGUGUUUGUAGAUAGGAAAUCCCUUCCACUUUUACCAGACACACGUAUAUUCCUUUAAAGCUCAUUAAAUCUUUUUCUAAACCCACUAACAGUCAAGACCUCGUUCUUAAAAAGCUCUUCUAUCCUUGAAGUAAAUAUACCAUACUAACUUUUAUCUUAAAAUAGUAAAUCUUCUUAAGAAAUACUGAGUCUUCUUUAUUCUUGAGAAUAGAAACAGGAAAGCACUCUGAAGUCAGCCCUUUAAAAGAGUUUCUUUGUUUUAGUCAGACAACCAGAUUUUAACCUAUUUACAAUUAAGUCCCUUGAGAUUGACUUCACAAUGUAUCCUGACUUUCUAAAGGGAGAAUGAACUACAGAGUAGGAAAAAAAAAACAUGAAUUAUGACUGUCAUGUACUUGAUAUCUAUGAAAAAAAGUGAUUUGGUUAUUUAGAGGAAUAUAAUCUUUUUUUUUUUUUUUUAGUGUUUCUGAUUGAGCAAAUCUAAUUUUUAGCUACUAAAACACAUAAGUAGUCUGAACAUUAUUAUCCAGAUGGACUUGGGUGACAUGCAGCAUAGACAAUUUAGGAAUAAGUGACACUCUGGACUUGAUUAGAACGCAGUAAUCCUAGAAGGAUAUAAAUUGAACUGGAUUUAUGGCCUAAUAAAAACGUGGGAAGCAGAGAUAAUGCUUACUGACUCAUGAAACUUUAACAAUGUUUGUGAGACUCCAAGUUGUCCUAAUAUUUGGACGAGAGCACUUCCCAUCCGUCUCCGCCUGCUUCUGAGUGGCCUGCUCUGCACCUUGCUCUAAAGGGAAGGCUGUACUGGGUCUUCUUAGGUAUUCUUGGGAAGCAGAGUUUAUCACAUGCUGUGCCCUUGCAAGCAAGCCAUGACCUCAAGCCACGCCUCACAGGAUUGGGCAAAUAUAUACUGAGCACCUAUUAACUGUAAGCUGUUAGGAGAAAAAAAAGUUCAUCAAGGGAAAGCCUUAGCCUAUUGAUUACUUUUGUUCAGAAAGCUUUUUGAAGGGGCUCCUUGUUUCUGGCCUUGUUUUCCCCUGUCUCUAAUGGUGUCAAAAAACACACAGCGUAACAGCUACUUGCCCAUCCCUGAAUACACCAUACAAAUAUCAACACUUACAUUUUAUUGAACCCUGAAGGCCUUUGUUCAGUGCUUGACAUACACUAAUUUACUAAAUCAUUACAACUCUGUGGCAGGCAUAGUAUUGUUAUUCCCAUUAGUCACACAAAGAGACUGAGGCUCACAAAGAGUGAGGCCAGGCCUGUGUCACUCAAUUCUCUCCUGCUUUGCUCUGAAAUGGGGUGUCUUGUUCCCUGCCUCCUUGCCUUUUCUUUGCACAGUUAGCUAUAUGUUGUUCGUUGGGAGAUUCAAAGUCACCUCUGUCUCACUGUGACUCCACUCAAGACAUGGCUGCUGGGAAGCCCUCCCUUCACUCCUCGAUCUGGGCUCGCAGAGCACUGAGGUACCCCUCAUCAUAGCCUGACUUGUAAAGCAGAGGGAGUCAGCUGGGGCGGGGUGGGGGCGGUGCUGGCUUUUUACACUGAUUUGUGAGCUCUUUGGAAAUCAGUAACUCUAUCUUGCAUAUGGUUGAUUUGCCAACACCCAGCAUUAUUCCAUGAGGACUGUCAUUAUUCCAUUGAAAGGGUGAGAAAACUGAAGCAUAGACGUUGAUUUAGUCAGGGCCACAUGGCUAGCAAGCUACACAAGCUCUUCACUCUAAAUUUGUUCCAGCUCUCAAAGGAGCCUGUGAACUGUGAGGGCAAGUUGGUACCCAGCAGCUCCCAGCCUAAAACCUCAUCGUUUGUGCGUGGUGAACAUCAGCCCUCUUGUUCUUCCAUCCACCCUGGAAGAUUGGAAAAUGGAGAAUACAUGGAACCAGGUCUUAUCUCACGAUAUGAGCAGGGGGGUGCAUGAGAGCCUGAGGAUCUUCUGCCAUGUGAAUUCCCAGGCCUCGUUCUGAUUUCAGUGGGGAGGGAGCAGGCAGGGUGGAACACUUUGAAAAUCUUUUCAGGGAGGACAGAAGCAUGAGGAGGCAGCUUCUGGAGAUCAGGGAAUGAAGCAGGCAUAGGGAGUUCGAAGCCAUGAGGGUGGGAGUAGGCGGAAGAGAAGUAGAAAUCAUCAGCUAGCUGGAGUCAGAGGGAGCUGCAGCCUGUCGCAGGAAGGACCUCUUAACUUGUCUUUUAAAGAUUUGCAAGUACCUGCACCUUUUGAAUGUGCUGGUGGGAUUUUAUCUGAGGAAUUCAAACACUUUCAUUUUCUUCAGAGCUUCUAUCUUUUAGGUACCCAAAAAUAGUAGGCUUUUCAGGAGUUGUAUAAGAAUUCCAUCUGCUUUGUAUUGAAAAGUAGGCCUUUAAUGGAAAAUUAAAAUUGAGCCAGAUCUCCUUCCCCACAACAAAGCCCAGGGAACUUUUCCCAUGCCUUCUUUUAAUCUCCAGAAUACGUUACUGAAUCUGUAUUUCUGUGAAAUCCUGCCCAGUUUAAGCUCUACUGAAAAGGCAAAUAAACACCAAAUUCUUUCAUUUCCCCGCGUGUGUUGGGUCUGCUUAGAAGCAGUAACAAUUUCAAAUAUUGUCACUUGUGAAAUUUGAUUUUUGUUUUAAUUUUAUUUUAAUUCCAGUCCAGAUAUGGUGUGAUGUGUUCCCCAUAGUCCAGCAUAUAUGUACUCACUGGGAUACUUGAAAAGGCACUGAUUUCUGUUAAUGGUUUCUCCGGUUGCUCUCUCAGAGUUUGGAGGGUAUCACCUUGUAUUGUCUGGUUUAUUUUCUAACCUGGAAAUACAAACACCAUGCUUCAUUGUUUUUCAGAUCUAAAACUCUGGAGCUGAGUUAUCAGUGAACUGUAACAUUCUAACAUUGUCUAUUUUUUAUCGUUGUCUCCUCCCUAAAAAUGUCCCUGUGUGGCUGUCCUUUGUACACCUUUGCCGGAUCCUCAUUCUCUUGAUGUUCUCUUGAUAUGUUGUGCCCUUCAGCCUCUCCCAUGGUUUGCAAAUAACAGUUGCUUCACUUUUUCCCAUACUUUCUAGAUUGAGUGUGGAGGCGUAGAUCUGUGUUGAAAUGGAGGUACUGGCUGAUGUACAUACUGAUUCUUUUGCCUUUACUAACCACACAAUAAAUAGAAGCAGAAAGACCAGAUUCCAGAGCCUGGCCUGCUGUGCCUUCCCCAGUCUCUGUGUCCUUCCCAGUCACACCUGGCUCACCUCAUCUACCACCACACUAAAGCUGGAUAACACCUGCUAUCUCAUGAAUAUGAAAGAGGUGUUCUGGCCUUUCUUUUCCUUUCCUGGAAUCCACAAAUCCUUCAUUUCCAUUAGAAUCCCAUUCAUUUGUCAAGGCCCAGCUGAAAUACCAGUUUUCUCCUUCUCUUCCAUUAAACAUUUGUAUCUCUCAAUUGCUUUCAGUAACUGAUGACUUAAAUUAGUAGUUAAAUUCUGAUGCAAGAAAGCCAAGGUUCAGAAGAUUUUUAUGACUUGCCCAAGCUCAGUAAUUGAUUUAGCCGAGACUCGAAAUCCAUAUGUAUGGGUCCUGCCCUCUUAGGAAACCGAAGACUCUUGGCCCCAUGUGUUCCAAAUCUUGUUUGCUGUGCCACCUUUUUGUCUGUCCAUCUAUAGCAUGCAGUGCAGUGUCACUCUCAAGGUAGGUACUUAAGCAGAUGUUACUUAGACAUGUCCUGAAUGUGCAGCUGGUUUCCUGGGCAUCUGGAUGCUAGGGUGUCAUCUGCUUGGACGUUGAGUUUCUGUAUUUUCUGGUGGCUGCACAUUUACUUCCUAUAUGAUUUAGGCUGGGUCAUUGUCCUAGACCAUUUUAGGAACUACCAUUGCAUCUUGGAAUGAUUUGUGUUUUAAGAUCUUUUGUUUAGAAUCUUAAUCAUUUUGUUAAAAGUCUAGGUGAUCAAAAAAGCAGUUACUUCUUUGCCUUCUGCUUUCACCAACACAAUUUUAACCAAAAAAGAAAAAGAAAAAAGGAAGUUAUUCAGUACAGAAUGACAUGUGAGACCAGGGAGAAAAUACAGAAUGAUUCAAAAUCUGGAGGAGACCAGAAGAGUACAAGACUGAAUGAUGGGAGAGAGAAGAAUAGCUGAAUGGGCUGCUGGUAUUGAGGAAGAGAAAGCAGGUGCUAGCUUUUUAUGCACCCACCCAUUUCUAGACCUCUCAAAGCAUGGUUUACUUGAUCCCUCAGCCAGACAGAACACAGCCUGUCCGUGGGAUUGCCUUUCUCUCCAGGCAUUAAUUGUGUUUGCUUUGUGGCAUGAUCUGAAGAAUCUCCUUAGCAGCAGAGGGCUCUAUCCCAGACUUAAGGUCCUUCCUACAAAGUAAGGAUUUGACACAGCAGCCCAGCUUCAGCCUUUUCUUUGUAUAUCCUUCAAAAGAAUGAUAGAAAAUAAGCUUUAUAACAUGUUUUCCAUGGUUGGGGGAGGGACUACUCCAGUCAUUUCUGUAACAAAAGACAUAUCAACAUGAGGGGUAAUGUUUGCCAGGCAUUCGUUAAGCCUCAGCUACCUGGACACAGCAUGCUGGGAUUCUUCAUUACUGGCUUCCCCUGCCUGGCCCUCACCUACAUGCCAGAUUCAGUGUACUGGGAUGGAGAGCAGCUGUGGAUGCAGGCCAGCUGCUAUAGCAAAAGGAAGGGGGCUGCGUACCUUGUGUUCCUCUUUUUUGAAAUGCUAUUUCGAUCUUUGGGAACCGGUGGUAGGUUGUUUUUUCUUGCUUAACCAAGCACUGUCUAUGAUUUAAAUGCUUUGCUGGCCCCCUCCCCACCACCACAACCUCUGCCUUGAAUGUAGGAGAUCACACUCUGCUCUGACUAAAGUGUGCUUUUCCCCUUUGCUGGCACAUAAUGUCACUACUUUCUGUAUUUACCUAGUUUGUUCAGGUGCAGAUACUUUUGUGCAUGUCAUUGUCAAUAUUGUCCAUUUUUAGAAGCAAGUCUGUGUAAUACUAAAUUAAGUUGUGCACUUAUUCAAUGCUUGUUGAUUAUGAUUCUAAGCUUCCCACUGUUUUGUAGUCAUUAUUCAGCAGAUUCUUGAUUUCAGGUACCAAGAGGUUUUUCUGGAGGUAAUUUUCUUAGGGGCUGAAAAUUACUUAUCAAAGACCAUGAGGGGUGCAUGGGAAGAAUCUGUAAAGACUAUGUGGCUCAAGCAGAACCAGAUCUUCUGUGGGUAAAAGUAGCUCCUGGGAAAAGGAUGAGUUCUGGUUAUUUUAUUCAGAAAUAUGAUCCAAAGAGGCAAAGAGGAUUGGCACUUGGAAAACUGCAGCCCCCAAAGUUUUCUGGCUGUACCUCAGCCAACAUGCCAUACAGGAAAGAGCAUAGUGCAUGAAAGUAUUGGAGGGGGCAUCUAAGGCAAGCCCCACUGCCUUCCCUGAUCCUCAUACCUCCAGUUGUGACAGAAGUUCUGUGUUGUUUGGAUGAAAUUCCCUGGCUAGUCCUCACAACAAUGAUCUCAUGUAGCUGAGAUCCAGAGCAGCCACCGUGAGAAAAUCCCUGCUUUGUGGUCCCCACCAACGCACCCACCUGAGCUCUCAGUGCUCCCUGCCCCGAGCCACUAGAGAGGGAGGUAUUGGUGAAGUAGGAGAGAGAGAUGGCAUAAUGGACAGAAGGGGCUUAGAGAAUCUAGAAAAGAUUCAAACAAGCACUAAAGUAUAGGAUGGGUGUUAAUAGAUAGAUAAAACACAUUCUGGAUUUAGAUCUGACUGGAAUUUGCUGGUUUUUAAUGGUUCCCCUUAGCCCAAUUUGGUGAGUUUGCCUGGUAAUGCUUGUCCCUUGGGAAUGGAAAAUCUGACCUUGUGGUGACCUAGAGUGAAGAAUUGGCUCAAAUAGUCAAGUGAGUAGGAUGUUCUCAACGACUGAAGAAAACAUCAGCUGAAUUAGCUGAAAGUAGGGAUCAAGGCUGAAUAGCCCUGGUGUAAGAUAAGGUAAGGAAGGACUGAGUGAACAGAUAAGGAAGGAAGGGUCUGAGGUCUCAGGGAUGUAUUGAGUGAACACAGCAGAUUUAGAAGAGGAGAGACAAAACGACAAGGCCCCUGAAGAAAGGAGUUCCACAGGGGAGUAUCUGUAUGGAUCAAGGAUAUCAGAUGUAAAGAAUUCAAGAAUGGAAAGCCAUCCGUCCUUUUGCCGUUAGUUAAACAUGUAUAAAUGAUGCCUUCUGGAAGAAGGACAUGUCAGCCUGUUGCUGGUGCUUUUUUGGUUUUGUUUUGUUUGCUUGCUUUUAAAUCCUGGAUGAAUGUUCUGGACCUCCGAGACCUUGCAUCAUGAGCAGCUGGUUUAGUGGGAAUAAUAUUUUGAACUGGUAUUCAAUUUACUUUCCCUUCCUCCUAAUUCUUAUCACCCAGGGAGUCUUCCCCAUUGAGGUUAAAGAUUCUAUUACUUCAGGGGGAGACCAGAACAUGGCCAAGGACAAAGAAGACAUUGUUCAGCUUUUGACGUUCAAAAUAGGCCCUUCAAGCAUGUUUCAGAGACCAGUUAGCCCUGCCUUCAUUUAAGAGGCAGGCUUUGUUAGGAAAAAAAAAAUGACUUGUGGAUUCCAGAGAACCAGAUCGCAAAAGGGGAUGGCAUGUCCUGCACAGUAAGCUGUGAAAAGGAGGGAGGCUGCAGGAUAGUUUCUCUUUGUCCAGGAAGGAGAGAAGCCCUUCCUGAGUUAGUGGGAAGAACUUGCAGAGAUUCUAGACUUAAGAAAUGGGUGGGUCACUGAGAUCCAAUGCCCCAGUUCCUGGACUUCAGCUUGAGAGAUAAGUGAGAUGUUAGAAACUCCAAGAGGCUGAAGGAAGCCCCCAACGCAGUGGGCACUUGUACCUUGCAUCCUGUCAGGAAUUCUGGAAGGAACCCACCUUGCAGUGCACCCUGCAGUGGGGCAUUGUUAGGCAGAAGCAGGCCCCAGUAUAGUGUCCCCUUUCAGUUUCCCAAAACCUGUAUGUGGUGGCAUAGGGGAAAUCUCAGCAGUCCAACUUGUCAGGUUGGGGAACAUGGAGAUGCUGAAGAGCCAGAGAUCAAAAUGGAGAGGGCGUGGAAGGCAGCAUGCUGACCUCACCACUGGAGACCAGCGGGGGGGUCAUGGCCACAGAUAUGCUGAGCCCUUAUGAGGUGGUGACCGGCUACAUCAGCAAGACAGUGGAACAACACAUCCCACAGAGGCCACUGAGGGCUUGGAGGGCAGCACUUGAGCCAGACACUAUCUCCAUUACUGCCUGGUCUGUAAUCGUCCCCAUGGGUGAGAAGGGAAAGGGAAAGGAACAGCCCUGAGGGGCAUUGGAAGUGAGUAAUUUGACUACUUGCCUGAAGCAACUGAAGGUUUAACUCUGAAGAGAAGACAUUAUCUGGAAAUAGCAAGAUUGUCUUUCUACCAUAAGCAGGAACACAGUGAUCAUAAUCAAAUUGAAUUCAACCAUUGAGAUUCAGCCAUUUCAACCCUUUCACAGGUCUUCACGCAGUAAGUGCACAUUUGGGCUGCAUUUGGGCUAUAUUUUUAUCUGUUUGGGGGCAGAUUUACUUAUGCUUUUCCUUUGAGUAAUUCAUGGUUUAGUAUACCUGUAUUAAGCUUAUUUUGGACGUGAGAAGUUCUGUCCUCUUGGAGGGCAAAGCUGCCUACCUGAUGUUUCAAAGAGUAUUGUAGGGAUAUUGGUGGGGAUUCUGGCUGCCCAUUGUUUGCAGGUGGCAGUUCUUCCCAGUGCACUGCAAGGAAGUACCUUGGUUCCCUGGGGGCCUCAGGUGGGUGGAAAACAUUAGAGUUUCAGGGCCUUUAUCAGUGAACUCACUGCCUGCCAUGAUAGAGGCCAAAGAAGAAUUUUUAUUGUGUUUGAAUUCUUCAUUUCCUAUUUUAAAGGUAACAGGGUGAAGACUAGAAAUAUGCUCCUAAAUACAAGGGGAAAUGCUCUUUGUUUUUAUUCAAUCCCCAUGUACUAAAUAAAGCACCAGUUUAUGAAAGGAUUCAUUUCCAAGUAUAAUUCAUACGUACUUACCAGAACACUCAAAUGAGAGAGGGGAAAAACUCUUUUUAAUUACAUUUCAUCUCUCUCUGACAUUCAUACAAGGAUGAUGCUACAUUUAAGAAGAUGUCUUUCAAAACCUGCUGUUCCUGGAAAUACCUAGUAAUUUUGGAAGGAAAAUCUUUAGGCCUGCUUUCAAAGCAUGCCUUUGUUGGAGGUGUGGUGGGGAGCUGCCUAUUGAGACACUGUUUAUAUAUUUUCCUACCAGAAGAUUAUUACCGUGGUACUGAGCAAAUCUCAAAACAUAAAUGCAUCUCAUGUUUUCCCUUGUCUGUCAGUGGUAAUCAAGGGAGGUGGAAAUGGGGCCAUAAUGUAAAUCAGGAGGUGUUCCUGCAUAGAUAAAAUAAUAGAAUUUUUUUAAAUGCUGAUUUAUGACCUGGCAGAUUUUUUAAGAAAAAUAGUUUGGACCUAUGAAAUACUCCUAUUCAAAAUCUAUUUAAAAUCAAAAUUAUCAAAGCUUAAACAUGUUUAUACACAUUAGAGAUAAAAGUCUUUUGUAUCACUUAUCUGAGCAGUUGCAAAAACAUAAGAUAGUAAUUAUUUUUUGCUACAUAAUUUACUCGCCCUGGUUUUUGUAGCCUUGUCUCUAGUAUGCAUUUCACUGAUACUUUUCAUGAAGAAUAAAUUGUUUUUAAUUUUCUUAUGAAGUUGCCUGUGAUCCCUUCAGAGUUGUUUAUAGUUAGUAUUUGAAGUUAAUACUUCCAGUUGGCAUUUAUGUGUACACCACAGUAUUUCUAAUUGAGAAAAUAGCUCUUUCUGCAGAUGUAAAGUCCCUGGUAAGCUCAGAGCAAUUUUGCUAAGUUGGGGCUCUUCUGAGACAAUUUUUUUUUUAGAGUGAAAUAUGUAAAUAUUUUGUUCAUAUUUUCACAGGUCUUUCCCCCUCAUUUAGAAUUCUUAUCUUCAACAAAUGUUUUUACAAGACAAAACUUAAGAAAUAAAUUGAUGUGUGAUCUUUUUGAAUGUUUUGUCAGAUGUAGAUGAUAUAAAAUCAUGGGCCUUCUCAAUUUCACCCCAUUCUGUUACAGACCAUAAAUGUAUCCAAUUAAAUCUAGGAGCACCAUCAAAAGAUUGCCAUGAGUCAAGAUAUUACAAAACAUCAUAGUAUAAUUUCAGAGUUAAAUCUUGGGUAGUAUUCAAGUCUUAUCAUUUAAUGUGUUCAGUUCCUCCUUCCUUUGCUUUCAUUGGGAUGAAUUUCAACAUCUUCUGUUCAUGAGCCUUAUUUUCAAUAACUGCAACGUCUUCAAAAGCUAGACUAUUUUUGUGCUUCAUGCAUUGCUUUGAUCAAAGAUUUCCAACUGGUUUGGAACAGAAUGCACCCAAACUUCAGAAGACUUGCCUAUCAUAGUGUUAAGGCACACCCAGGUCAAUUCAGAGAGUGGGUUCUCAAACACAACCCAGGUGAUGAUGAAUGACAUAUGGCAAAGGGAGGCAUGUACUGCUGUGCUGAAGUAUUUUUUGCACUGAACAUUGGCUUUGUCACAAAAAUUUUGUAGGUUCAGUUUUUCUAACUGGGCAUAUAUACUACAGUUUGUCAAUUUCUACAUCUACAAUUUUCUUUCAUGUUUGGGAGGCUAUACCUACCUGGAUUGAAUGCAGUUAUAAAUUAUGCAUGUGCCACCCCAAAUUCUAAGUCACUUUCUGCUCCAUAGGUUUCUUGAAAAGUAAGAACAUUAUUUUUUAAAAUUUUUUUCUAGAUGUUGAUGGACUUUUAUUUUAUUCAUUUAUUUAUAUGCAGUGCUAAGAAUUAAACCCAGUGCCUCACACAUGCUAGGCAAGCACUCUACCACUGAGCCACAACUCCAGCACCAAAGAACAUUAUUUUUAGCAUCACAAAAUUUUUAUAUGUAUCAUCACUGCAAAAACAAGUAAUUUCAUCUUCUGUGUUGAACUUUGUACAAUUUACAGCAGUGUUUACAAUAACAGGAGCUGUUUCACCUAUGACAGAAUAAACUUCUCCAAACUUUCUUUUGACUCCAUGAAAUAGUUUAAAAUACCUGAUGAUUCUACCAUAACAUUGGAAUCAUUGAGUUGUUUAUAAGGUUUUUUUUUCUGCUAACGAAGCUGAUGCAUUACAGAUACUUUACAUACACACACACACACACGCACACACACACACACAUCCUUUCAAAAGUAAUCUAAAUGAAUUUAUGUGGUACUGAGUAUUGAACCUAGGGGUGCUUAUCACUGAGUUAAAUCCCCAGCCCUUUUAUUUAUUUACUUAUCUAUCUACCUAUCUAUUUGAAAAUUUUGAGACAGGGUCUCUCACUAAGUUGUAGAAGCUAGUCCUCUUCCCUCAGCUCCCGAGUCACUGGGAUUACAGAAAUGCACCACCACCACACCUGGUAGGAGAGCAGAAUCAAUUAAGAACAAAUUGUCAUCAGCACUGUCUUAAUACAAUAAUAUUAACAUUUGCUGGUGCCUCUUUAGCAGAUUUGUGACUUGGGGUUUAUGUAGUCAGGAACACCCCUGUGGCUCCCAUGGUGGUUAGUCAAUAUCAACAAGCAUUCUGUGCUAAAUAACAUGUAUCAUCAACUUUCUUGAAAAACAAAAUUGGGGUCUGUGGUGUGACUUGCCUAGCAGCACCAAAAAAAAAAAAAAAAAGGAUAUUGCAAAAAUAAAAUAAUAUGACCAUUCAAUAAAUGAGAAAAACACUGUAAUGAUGGCAUUCAGACAAUUCCUUAAAAGAUCUUUAGCAGAUCUAUUUCCUGAAAAUAUUUCAUGUAUGCUUUUCAUGUAUAGCAUUCUGUGCUUCCCUUUCACCCUUCUGACUUGGUGUUCUGUACCUCUCAGGCUUGCCAUGGGUCCCAGCACAGUGACAGCCAAUGAGGGGGAGUAGCAAUGCAGAAUAUUUCUCUCACUGCCCAAACUGGUGUAGUUAGCUUUUCUAGAUUGCUCACGUCCAAGUGCUCCUUGUUGUAUCGGUGAACAUUCUGUGUGUUGCAAUUGAAAAGGAGGUGUUACACCAAGAUAGGAAAAGGACAGGAAAAAAGAUGGAUGGCCAUCGGUCAUCUUUCAGAUUUAAUCACGUGUUAAGGUAAAUUCCCUUUGCCAUAGAGUUGUCUCACGGAUAUGCAAGACCAUAGCAGAAGCUGCAACUGUGAAGUAAAGGUUACAAAACUCACUCCUGGUGUGUUUUCAUGCACCUAAUAGUAACACUUGGUUUACAAAGUGAAACGUCUUGGACAAAUGCUUACUCUGACAGACUGCUGGGGCAGCAGGAGGGGAUGAGCACUGUCACAGACAAUGCAGGGUACACACUCACCCUAGUUAGACUACACUGCUCCAUCUGCUGUAUGUCCUCCUCUUUCACCCAGACUGUAUUAUUCCUGCAACCAUGCUGCCCUGUCCUUCUCUACUCUUGCCCCAUCCGAUUCUACUUCCCACAAUGGCCGAGGGAGCUUUUAAAAAUAGAUUACAUCACUUCCCUCAGCAUCUUCCUAUCGCAGUUGAAAUCAGGUCUGGUGCUCCACUGUGGCCCAAGGGGCCCUCUGGGCCCUUGCCUUUGGCUAGCUGCCCCCUUCUGAAUAAUAAGCUUCCAGGAAGAGCUACCUGACUGUUUUCUCUCUGUCACUCUGGCUCAUGAGAGAGUUGCUCAGGUUGUUUACUUGAUGAAAUGAAUGCGACUUACUUAGAGUUGAAGAGAGGGAGUGUCUUGCUAAUUCCUAGGACUAAGGAAAUUCAGGUCCAAAUCUCUAGAUCCCAAAUAUUAUUUCUGUCUCUGAUCAAGAAGUUAAGAGAGCAAGAUGUAUUCCAGGACCAGGUCUUCUCCAUUAGCAGAGGUCUUGUGAUGCACACGACCGUUCUGAUUCUGUAGUCUCCUAGCCCCUCCCCACUGCAUGGAAGGAAGCAUGAAUUAUAGGGAGUCUAUUGUUUUCAUCAGCAUCGGAUCAGGGACUUUGUUUUAAGCACAUCUGGCCUACAUAACUAGGUAAGGUGUGCCUCUGGAUAAUUGGGGGAAACUGAAAGGCAAAAGCUCUCAGGGACACAGGGUGGUGGUGGUGAAGGAUUACUUUGAAGUCGCGAUUUUGAGACCCCGGGUUCUGGCAUAACGGCUUUCUGUUGCUUCUCUUUUCAAAACAUGCUACUGCUCAGUUUUAUCAUGAAUGCCUUUCCAAGGACAGUAAAUGGUUUUACACACUAUGACAUCGUUUCCAUGGCAACUAAUGUAUUUCAGCAAAGAGAGACUGUGAGAGAAGUAGGCUAAAAAGGACAAAUACAGAAACGGCACAGUGUAAAAUGUGGGGCAGUGUGUGUUGUAGUAAAGAUUUUUCAUUUUUUUCUUCUCCCACCCCUUUUCUUUUUCUGACUUCUUGUUUAGAAAAACCUGAAUAACUGGAUCUCAGCUUCUGAACUCCAUCUAAUAAAAUUUUUACUGCACCGACACUAUUUAGAAUUUUGCUGACACAAUUUUUUUAGGUGGCACUUGGGGGGUUUUUGUCUGUUUGCUUUAAUGUGAUAAUCAUGUAAUGAAUGCACGUGUCAUUUUAUCUCUCUUAAUGAUAUACUCUCUUCACCCCCACCCACUCUCCUCUGGCUAGUACCCUGCUUCUCUGCUGCCUUUUACCACAGUGCUUUUUGAGAGGAUUAUUACAUUACCUGUCUCCACAUGGCAUUUGAUAGCAAUUGAAGCCAUUCCAAGCAGCCUUUCACUCCACUGUUUGAUCUGGGAUCACCAGUUGUCACAUCCCCAUUCUCUAAGUCUACUACAGUUUACCUCUUCUUCUUCUCCUUCUCUUUCUCCUUCUUCUUCUUCUUCUUUUUUAAAGAAGCUAAUGUGCUCAAGUAUACUUUUCAAUAUUUCUACAAAGUACCAAACCCUGUAGGCGUCAACCCUGGUUUUAAAAAAUAAACAAAAGGAACUUGCCACCCCUCUUUGUGAAUUGGAAUGUAUUUGCGUUAUCUUGUUUUUAUGACAAUAAAAACUUUUGUGUUCCUAAAUAACCCCCCAGGAGUUGAGCAGAUAGCAAUCAGUUUCUUUAACAGAAAAGGCAUAGGCAUUAUGAUUUGCAUGGCACAUUUUAAAAAUGUAAACACACAGUUUUAAAUAGGGCAUUUUUAUAUAAAAACCAGGGUUUCCAGCUUCUCUUGAAAAAAAAAAAAAAAUGGCAGGUUUGGCAAAAGUGAACGUGCCUUCUGUAGUGACAGCAGUCUGCUCCGGCAGGCAGCGUGUGACUGUCCUCUUAGAAGGGGGCUGGGCUCUUCAGUCAUCCUGCCUCCGCUCACCUGCUUUGCUUUUGCUAGUGUUACCUCCCUGACCUCUGUGUUUGUUUUUUUUUUUUGACAUGUGACCCUUACUGCAUCCCUUACCACCCAGUCACAGAACCCAUAAGAGGCAAAGCUGGGGAUUGAACUUGGUUUCCCAGCCGACUGCUUCCUCCCUGACUGUGGACCAGAAUUCUUUUUUUAGAGAGUACUUUAGAGGUCAGUGGUGAGGGGCAUCCUUAGGUGGUAGAGUCUACAUUUUGUCCCUUCCUAAUUAAAAUAGGUGCUGCAGUGAACAGCACUGGUUGCCUCCGUCAGAAGCUGUGUGCGCUUUCUGUCACGGUGUGCUAGACAGAGGUGCUGGCCAUAAAUCUAACUUUUACAUGUGCAGAGAAACACUGGCUAAAAGGAGAAGCUCUGGCCUAACCUAGGUUUCAUAUCUUGUAAGUUUUCAAUGAGCAUAUAUUACCUGUUUAGGAGGCAAAGUGAAUAUUUAUGUCAUUAAGAACGAAAGCACAUACAGCAUUGACUGACCCCUGUGCUGCCCUCCCUGUGUGCGACACACAAGGGUAUCCCCCGACACCUUUGCUGUCCUUUACCAGAGUAGACUCUCGCCUGGAUGGAAGUGUGCUAAAGACGCCUCUGGGGUGGCAUCAACUUGUGCCGGCCUUGUCGCUGCCCUGCUUUCCUUGUUGUUUGAAACAUGCACUUACUGCUUCACCUGGGGGGCAAGACAGGAGAAGAGGUUGCAGUUGCCACCAUCUCUAACAUCGUUAGUUUUCUAUGUGCAGGAGGACUCUGGAGAGCGAGGUAGUCUGGGGCCAGGAUGAAUGGCUAGAGGAAAAUGCCUUUUUCCUGGGGAAACAGGGCAACGAGAAAUGUCUCACAACAAAGAGCCUUGUCUGAGCUGGGCCCUGUCUCUGGGGCUUGAUCCAGCUGUGGGGUGCACAGGCAAUUGUGGUGACCUUGAACGUGGAUGGUCCCACACACUGCGUGCCUGUCUGCAGCUGCACUGGCCUGGGAGAGCCCACUGUGAAAGUGGGCCUGUUCCUGGGCUUCAGGCAGAGAGCCAGGGGCCUCCCCUUUACCAGAGAGCAUUGAGGAACUUCUGUGUAUGCUCUGUAUGUGUCUCAGCUUUCUUUGGGAUUAUAGCAGCGUCUGGCCCUGCCUGGUCUUUUUUGUGCUUUGGAUCCUAAGUUAAGAAUAACCGAAGGAACACUUGUCCCUGUUGACAGGCUUGAUAAGGAAAUUGCUAUCAAAUGGCUAUUUUAUCCUCAUUCACCACUGACAUCACACCACGUACAGUUCUGAGGUUCCCACUUUAGUUGUGAUUGAAUAGAGCUGUGAUCCCUGGAGCAGAAAGAAACCAUUCAGAUGUAACUAUGUGAAGACGAAGAUGUGUCCAGUAACGUGCAGAUGUUUUUUGGCAGGUCAAUGAAUAUUUUAAAUCUUUUGUAAGUAGUAGAAGAGGUUGAAUUUGGAACAGAGAAUAUACUAUGGCAAGAGAAAGGCAUAUCUCAUUUUUUCCAUCUCCCAUUUUUUUCAAUAAUCAAGCAAAACCCUGAACAAUGAUUUAAAUCUUGAAUUCAUUAUAAGAUGUGAUUAUGACCAUGAUGUAUUGAAUUUCAGUUUCUCAAUCACAUUUUUUAAAUAACAAGAAUUGCUGGUUAAUAUUAACGUAAAAAUUCCAGAUUUGAUCUCUGUCAUUUAUUUUGAAGCUAAAGGCCCAAGAUGGAAUUUGAAGAAGAAGGUCAUCUUCUGGUUGAGAGCAUGUUGUGUGUGAGAUGUGGUCAGGCUCUCUCUGCAUUUAUACGCUUGGUCUCCACCCAUCCAAUACGCGCACACCACCUUGUAGUGCAGGAAGGAAUGGGCUCUGUUUGAUUUAAUAUAGACUCAUUAGCCACUCUGUCACUGCCGCUUGUCACCCCUUCACUUGUCACCCCUUCCUCACCAGCUCCUGCAUGUUAUGGGCACAGUGGUUAGGGCCAUCCUGGCCCCUGGAGAGGUAGCAGUUCUAACAGGGAGGCAAUGAAACAGGCCCCACAUAAAGUAUAGGAAGAACACAGCAGAGGGGAAAGCUAAUUCUGUACACAAGUGUGGGCAAGGAAAACAGUGAAAAGAUGAUUGUGAGCUGGGCACUGAAGGCUGAUGAGGAGAAAAUUAUACUUACCCAGCAGGGUUGGCGAGAUUGGAAUGACAGCACUUAGCCCGUGCCAGGCAUAUGCUCGAGGCUGCGUCUCUUUUCCUGCCCCUCAUUGCAAUAGACACAGAUUCAAAUUACAGAGGUACCAUGCAAAAGUUUGCUCCUACCUCUGGCAACUUCUCAGCUGGCCUACAACGUCUGUCACAAUCUGACCUCUUGUCUCAGUUUCCUACCUUUCCCCCUGCAGCCUACUGCCAUGCACUUAGCCACCACUCUGUCCUGUAGUACUACCAAGUCGGUUGUCAUUCACUGUCAUUCACGUGACCAGUGCUCCUUUGACCAUCUGGUUGCUCUCUCUGCCUGAGCCAUCCUUCUGUAAGGUCUGUGGGGCGAUCUGCUGUGGGCAUAUAGGAGAGCAGGGAGGCUGGAAGAAUAACUAUGUCAGAAGAGAAUUCAAAGUGGAGGACUUCCCAGUUUUAUUUUUAGAGAACUUAUAUCUUCCUCCAAAGUGGGAGGUUGAUCUGCUCUAAAUAGUUGGGAUUAAUUCACUUUUGGUCAGGGUCUUGUCCUUUGACUUCAAUUCCUGCAGUUGAUCAUACAUUUGUAGCAUUUAUGAUCAGCCUUUUCACUAUAGUAUCUGGGUUAUGUUCAUUGUUUGCCAAAUAAAACAUUAGCAGGAAAAAUAAAAGCACGAAAAAUGCUUAGCAGGAAAAAUAAAAGCAUGAAAAAUGCUCUAAUGUCCCAAAGCCCAGAGUUGAAUAGGAAGGCAACUGUUUAUAAUGUCUGUAUAACUGUAUAUCCGUGGCUCUGUCUACACACAUGUGCUCACACAGGGAGUUGGAGGAGCCUAUCUGUCCUUCAGGCUUGGAAAUAUAAAACAUAAAACUUAGACUCAGAAUAUAGAUAAAUCAGAAUAAUUGGUCAAUUUUUUGAAGAAAUUAUUUUUUAAAAGGAGUCAUUUAAAUAAAAAGUAUCUUUUUCACUUAAACAUUUGAUAGCUAAAACUUAUUCUCAAUUUUUCAGAAAUACUUUUACUUAAUAAAUGUAUGUUUUUGUUGUUGCUGUUGUUGGUAUUGUUGUUUGUUUGGUGCUGGGGAUUGAAUCCAGUGCUGUGUAACCACUGAGUAACAUCCCUAAUCCACUAUUCAUUCCAAAUGGGAUUGCCAUGUAAAUUUUACUUUUAGGAAAUUCAUUUUAUCUGUUCUUGUCCUCCUUGAAACAAUGGAACUGGUGACUGAAAAUAUCUCAAGCAGUCUUGCUUGAAAGUUGUUCAUGUUAAAGCUAUGGUGUCCCUCUUUCGGUUUAUGGCUAUAGGAUAAUGCGUACAUUGUCUUUGUUAGUUAACUCCAUCUGUUUAAUGCGCCUGAAAAAUAAAUUGGAUGGUGCUAUAUACAUGUGUGGAGAAUAAGACUGUGUGUGGUAGUGAGCCAGCAGCUCCGAAUGGACUUCCAGUUUCCCUACUGAUACCGGUUGCUGAAGUGCUGUGGAGCAAAGGCUCAUUCCUUCAGAGCCUAGAGACUCCAGCAUCCUGCGUUGCUGCAAUUAUGUGAUAUGCAUAAGAUAUGCAAUAUGCAAGUUUCUUUUCUACCCUGGAAAAGGGUAAAGAUUCUUCAAGUGUUUUUUCUGAGGCAGAUGAAGGAGUCUUUCACUUUGCAAACAGAAAACUUCUUGUUGUGACCUAUAAAUCAGAACAGCUCUCCUAACCUAUAUAAGAAUGUUCAAGAAGGGAAGUCAAACUUCCACUGUAAAUAUGUUCCCUUUGGUGAAAAGUUCUCAGUGCUGAAUUGCUUUUCUCUGGUUAUAGGGAGGCAAAUUAAAUUUCUGGACAAAGAGAAUUUCUGUUUUGUACAACACAGCAGCGUCUAGCACCCUGGUGAGCUAGCCAGAUGAAAGGUCAUAUAUUGUGGUGUCUCCUUGGUUAGUGCAGGAUAGCAUGUCUCAGAAGCCCGAAGAGGUGGGUUGCUAAGGUACGGCUAUCGAGGCAUGCUGAUUAGCACAUUCUCUCCCUCCGACCUCCAUAGUGGUUUCUUGCUUGUCUGCAACGAGUUCAUGAUUUGAAUACCCAUCUUCAGAGAACAAUAUAUGAGUUUCUAAUUCUCUUCCCCAUGGUCACUUUUUCUUUCCUUCAUUCUGAGUCAUCUUUGAUUAAACUAAACAAAGAUGUUACUGUUAAUUAUACGUCUUUUCAAACAGUGGAAAAAUUCUCGUGUGUGUGUGGGGGGGUUGCUUUUGAUGGAGAUAAUAAUUUAUAAUGGGGGUGUUUAAAACCAUAGACCAGGAAGAAAAAUGCUGAGAAGCAUACUGAAAGGAACUUAAGCAUCUCAACUACAACAGGAUAAAUUGUUUCUGCCUUUUUAAAAUUUCAGGUUCUACUUCACACUUUGCCUUCAUAUAUUGUUGUCAACAUAACUCCAUUCAACCAUUUAUAUUAUUCCCCUUAGAUACUGAGGCUUUAUUGAAACAGCUAAAAUUUCAAAUGAUAAAUGAUGUAUCAUAAUAUCGGCAGAUUGAGGCAAAGUGUAUGAACAAACUGAAAAUCUGACAUCCUACCCCUGGCACUUUAAAGAUGACGUUAAGUGGACAUGGGUAUCCUCAGAAUCAGCUCAGCCUUGCCAGGAGACUGUCAUAAGGUUCUAAGUAAUCUGGGGCUAGAGUUCCAUGGAUAAAUUGGUUCAAUCUGGUGGGUUGGCAAACCUCUGGCAGAAAGGAACCCCAGCUGAUGGGAAACAGAGGCCGUCUCAAGAAGGCUGGUUUGACAGUGAGGUUCACCCACAGUAAGACAGGAAGUGGGGCAUAUAUGGGCCCCUAGAGAGAGAUUUAAGUCAAGAGGUAAGUCGAGUAAGACCUUGGAAGACUUGUUUUUAAUGUGCCCAACAUAGGUAACUCAUGGAGACCCUGAAGAAGGCACAUGGGCAUGUGUGUGUACACACUCAGGAAUUUCUUCCUUGUAUUCCCUGCUCCAGAAAGUUAAAAUCUCAUGCUGUCUUCCUUUGGUGGUAUAGGGCCAGGUCUUUGCAUUUUCAAGCAGGUGUUUGUGGCAACUGUGACUUAGCAACAAUUGUGUGAAUGAGAAAAAAUUUGUGGGUAAAUGGAAAUUCUCUGGUGGUGCUUUGUGGGUGGUUUACAGGAGCAGAAUGCUUGGUUCUCUUUUGAUGUCUCACUAUUUGUUUUGUUUUUUUUUUUUCUCCUUCUACAGUGUUGAAGCAGGAUGCUGCUCUAGACGUGGAAAAAGUAAGUUGACACAUUUCACACGAAAGGCAUAUACUUUGUG
Molecule: long non-coding RNA, 25013 nt
Filed under: Marmota monax (woodchuck)
Lineage: Eukaryota; Metazoa; Chordata; Mammalia; Rodentia; Sciuridae
Source: RNAcentral